Molecule: ribosomal RNA, 498 nt
Filed under: uncultured bacterium
Lineage: Bacteria
Description: partial 16S ribosomal RNA
Rfam family: Bacterial small subunit ribosomal RNA
Source: RNAcentral
GACGAACGCUGGCGGCGUGCCUAAUACAUGCAAGUCGAACGAGAGCAACCGGUGCUUGCACUGGUCAAUCUAGUGGCGAACGGGUGAGUAACACGUGGGUAACCUGCCCAUCAGAGGGGGAUAACAUCCGGAAACGGAUGCUAAAACCGCAUAGGUCUUCGAACCGCAUGGUUUGAAGAGGAAAAGAGGCGCAAGCUUCUGCUGAUGGAUGGACCCGCGGUGCAUUAGCUAGUUGGUGAGGUAACGGCUCACCAAGGCCGUGAUGCAUAGCCGACCUGAGAGGGUGAUCGGCCACAUUGGGACUGAGACACGGCCCAAACUCCUACGGGAGGCAGCAGUAGGGAAUCUUCCGCAGUGGACGCAAGUCUGACGGAGCAACGCCGCGUGAGUGAAGAAGGUUUUCGGAUCGUAAAACUCUGUUGUUAGAGAAGAACAAGUGCUAGAGUAACUGUUAGCGCCUUGACGGUAUCUAACCAGAAAGCCACGGCUAACUACGUG